UAUCUCUGUAGAGUCUGCAUAUCAAUAAGCGGAGGAAAAGAAACUAACUAGGAUUCCCUCAGUAACGGCGAGUGAAGCGGGAAGAGCUCAAAUUUGAAAUCUUCAAGGUUUUACCUUGACGAAUUGUAGUUUAAAGAAGUGUUUUCUGUUGGUGUUUUGGUAAAAGUUCUUUGGAAUAGGACAUCAUAGAGGGUGAGAAUCCCGUAUUUGACCAUUACUUCCAGCGUUGUGAUACACUUUCAAAGAGUCGGAUUGUUUGGGAAUGCAGUCCAAAAUGGGUGGUAAAUUUCAUCUAAAGCUAAAUAUUGGCGAGAGACCGAUAGCGAACAAGUACCGUGAGGGAAAGAUGAAAAGAACUUUGAAAAGAGAGUUAAACAGUACGUGAAAUUGUCAAAAGGGAAGCGUUCGACACCAGUGUUGUUUUCUCGAAAAUCAAUUAAAGAAGAUUGGAUUUUGUGUUGUAUUGACUUUAUCAGCUUUCUGCACUCUCUUCUUGUCUUUUUUAAUGCACUUUUCAUUUAACAAGUCAACAUCAAUUUCUUUUGUUGUAAAAGGGUCAUUGGAAGGUGGCUUUCUUUUCGGAGAAAGUGUUUAUAGCCUUUGACUUCUGCAAUCGGAGAGAUUGAGGUCUGCAGCGUAGAUCCUUCGGGGUUAGAUGCAUUUGUGCUAAGUUAUAGCCUUUCAUAGACAACUUGUUGACUAUGAUCAGUCAUGUAGCUUACUCGCUUAUGUCAUUUUACCUACGCUUAGGAUGUUGAUCUCUCACAGUCGAGC
Molecule: ribosomal RNA, 774 nt
Filed under: uncultured Neocallimastigales
Lineage: Eukaryota; Fungi; Neocallimastigomycota; Neocallimastigomycetes; Neocallimastigales
Description: partial large subunit ribosomal RNA
Rfam family: Eukaryotic large subunit ribosomal RNA
Source: RNAcentral